CCCCCCGCUCCCCAAUGACGUAACUGCCCUGCAGCUUCUAGUAGCUUUUCGCAGCGUCUCCGACCGCCGGGCGCGGUGGCGCGUGCCUGUAGUCCCAGCUACUCGGGAGGCUGAGGUGGGAGGAUCGCUUGAGCCCAGGAGUUCUGGGCUGUAGUGCGCUAUGCCGAUCGGGUGUCCGCACUAAGUUCGGCAUCAAUAUGGUGACCUCCCGGGAGCGGGGGACCACCAGGUUGCCUAAGGAGGGGUGAACCGGCCCAGGUCGGAAACGGAGCAGGUCAAAACUCCCGUGCUGAUCAGUAGUGGGAUCGCGCCUGUGAAUAGCCACUGCACUCCAGCCUGAGCAACAUAGCGAGACCCCGUCUCUUUUGCCCCCCUCCCUCAUUAAGGGUACCUUUCGCGAAAGCUCACCAGUUGACGGGAUGCUUGGGGAUUUGCAACCGCCUCAUCGCUGCCCCCUACCGGCGCAUAUUCAAAACGUCUCUGCGAAAAGCUGUUAUUACCUUCGGAGCCAACAGGGGCUGCUCGUUUACCCACAGACAGUCGGAAAAAAAUGGCCGCCGGAUCACAGAGAGCAAAAAGCAGGGCUAAUCUUCCGAAGAGGAAUCCCACUACUGCCUCCUUAUAAGGGAAAAACUCCUCUCAGAGGAACCCAGAACGCCCUGUGAUGACAGAGGUGAGGGGCCAGCGUGGCAGAAUGCACCACCCUGUCUCCUCGCUUGCUUCUCUCUCCGUCGGAUUGCCAAAAAGGGAACGGCACCUAGACGCCGAAAAGUAACUGAAGCAAAGGGAGUUUAAAGAACGCGCCCAGCCGCCUGGGUCUUGAACCCAGUGUUAAUGAGAGCAAAAACCUCUGCAUCCUCCACUGAGCUGUCCUUGAGCAUGUCUCAUAAUCAUGCUUCAUUUUAAAAACAGAAAUAAGUGAGUAAGCUAUGAAAGAAGACAACCUUUAAAUUUUUCAAAAGUUCUUGGUGGUCUGUGAUUAGAAAUUUCAUCUAUAUGAAAUAACUGUUUUGGAGGGCUUACUGUUAAAUUCAGGCAUUUUAGGGCCAGUGGAAACUGGUUAAGCAUUCACAUCAGUCUUAACAUUAAUCUGAUAAUCUACUGGGAGUUUAAAGACUCUAAGCACUAAACACAGAUUUUCCUCACUGUCUAUAAAAUGAAAGAGGAAAGAAGCAUUGUACUAAAUUUUUUAUAAAGCUAAUUGUAUUCCCUUUUUUUUUUUUGAGGUAGUUCAUUGCAUUUUGAACAAGGAUAACUGUCAGAAAAGAUCCUCUUUGAAUAAAACAGGUAUCUCCCCCA
This 1299-nucleotide long non-coding RNA is filed under the name Homo sapiens (human). Its description in RNAcentral is "HSALNT0376843". The stretch from base 66 to 365 matches the Rfam family "Metazoan signal recognition particle RNA". Lineage: Eukaryota; Metazoa; Chordata; Mammalia; Primates; Hominidae. The record is from RNAcentral.